Molecule: ribosomal RNA, 253 nt
Filed under: uncultured bacterium
Lineage: Bacteria
Description: partial 16S ribosomal RNA
Rfam family: Bacterial small subunit ribosomal RNA
Source: RNAcentral
UACGUAGGAGGCAAGCGUUGUCCGGAAUUACUGGGCGUAAAGCGCGUGUAGGUGGUGGGACAGGUCUGCUGUGAAAGUGCCUGGCUUAACCGGGCGAGGUCGGCGGAAACUGUCCGACUCGAGGACGGUAGAGGGGGGUGGAAUUCCCGGUGUAGUGGUGAAAUGCGUAGAGAUCGGGAGGAACACCUGUGGCGAAGGCGGCCCCCUGGGCCGGCCCUGACACUGAGACGCGAAGGCGUGGGGAGCGAACGGG